Molecule: ribosomal RNA, 497 nt
Filed under: uncultured bacterium
Lineage: Bacteria
Description: partial 16S ribosomal RNA
Rfam family: Bacterial small subunit ribosomal RNA
Source: RNAcentral
GAUGAACGCUGGCGGCGUGCCUAAUACAUGCAAGUAGAACGCUGAAGGAAGGAGCUUGCUCUUUCCGGAUGAGUUGCGAACGGGUGAGUAACGCGUAGGUAACCUGCCUGGUAGCGGGGGAUAACUAUUGGAAACGAUAGUUAAUACCGCAUAACAGUAGAUGUUGCAUGAUAUCUACUUAAAAGGUGCAAUUGCACCACUACCAGAUGGACCUGCGUUGUAUUAGCUAGUUGGUGAGGUAACGGCUCACCAAGGCGACGAUACAUAGCCGACCUGAGAGGGUGAUCGGCCACACUGGGACUGAGACACGGCCCAGACUCCUACGGGAGGCAGCAGUAGGGAAUCUUCGGCAAUGGACGGAAGUCUGACCGAGCAACGCCGCGUGAGUGAAGAAGGUUUUCGGAUCGUAAAGCUCUGUUGUAAGAGAAGAACGAGUGUGAGAGUGGAAAGUUCACACUGUGACGGUAUCUUACCAGAAAGGGACGGCUAACUACGUG